This 240-nucleotide unclassified non-coding RNA is filed under the name plant metagenome. RNAcentral describes it as "partial contains small subunit ribosomal RNA, internal transcribed spacer 1, and 5.8S ribosomal RNA". The record is from RNAcentral.
UUUCCGUAGGUGGACCUGCGGAAGGAUCAUUACCGAGUGAUGGACUCUCAGGCCCGCCCUCCCACCCUGUGCUUUUGUGACCUUCUUGCAUUGGCGGGCCCGCCACGAUGAGAGGCCGCCGGAAGCUCCCCGCUUUGGCCCCGUGCCCGUCAGUAGACCCCUUAAAUUCUUAAUAAACCUGUAGUCUGAGUUAAUGGAUAUAAUGAAAAAAAACUUUUAACAACGGAUCUCUUGGUUCUG